CUCCGCUAGCCUUCGCUCUGAUUGGAGAAACUGGCUCCUAGACAGAGGGGGACCUUGAGUUACCGCGGACAGGCUGUCUGGCUGUAAUGGGGGGCCUAGCCCCGGGCACUCAACCGUCAGGAUUAGCUAAUUUUUAUACAAUAUAUUUAGGUGGCUAAUUAAAGACUGUGGCAGUCUGGUUAAGGUAGGCUUGUAUGGGGUUCUCUCCCCGCAAGUUUGCAUGUGAUUUUAUACCUACGCGAAUGCAGCACGGUUGCAGUAAAAUUGGAACUUCAGCAGCGCGAGCUAGCCCAGACCCCGCUAGCUGGCUAGCGAACGAGAAUUUGCUAGCGGAUCGGGGUUCAGUCCGUAUCACCUUAACCCUCAAACUGAAAUGAACACAGGCUAUGAUGAAUCCUCUGAGAGAAGACUGCAAGUCACUGCCAGUCAGACAAAAGGGGAUCAGCAACGAAACGGCUCACCAUUCCUUCCCUUCCUUCCUGGAAGAAACACCACACUGUCACCCUAAAGAGCAAAUGGAAAAAUGAAAUCUGUAUAUUUUAGUUUAAUAUUUUUUAUUUUUUUUGUUGGUGUGUGGGGGUAUAGAUGAGAUCAUGAUGACUCUGAAGUUUCAUACCUUCUCUCUCUUAUCUGUGAUUUAUUAACAUGUUCGAUAUACAGUAGCCUGUAAGGGACUCUAAGCCUUGAUGAUAUGUUUUGUAUUUCGGGAAGGAGAGGAAAAGACUCAGGAAUGUAAUAACACCGAUACCUGGCCGACUUGAGCAGAGUCUCCUACAUCUGAGACCUAGCCUGGUUCCGAGAUCUGUUUGUGCCGUCUUCCGUGACAUCGGCAAGAUGGCACAAACCGAUUUGGAACCAGGCGAGCAGAGGCCCAACAUCUGCGUUUUCAAACUCUACCGGUGGCCCCUUUUUUUGGGAGGGCUAAGUACAGUAACUGACAGACAGCAGCAUGUCAUCCACUUUUCCACAGAACACCGUUGAAACAGCUGCUGGAUCCUCCACGCAUGUUUUAACACUCAUUCAGUUCUAUCUGCUCUGUUCACCUCACACACUCAUCAGCAUUGAUCUCUGCUUAACACCGUGUGUAGUUAGGCCUAGACUACUUAUAUCAUUGUCUGUACAAACACACUUAAAAAAAUCUAAUCAAAUGUUUAUUUGUGACAUGCUUCAUGAACUACAGGUGUAGACUAACGGUAACAUUGUUUUUUUAAGAGUCUUUUUCGAAACAAUUCAGAGUUUAAAUCUUGAAAGGGAGUGGUUCCACCUCGACGCAUAACCAUUCAAACAUCGGGUUCGGUAUUUUACCUCUAAUAGUCCUAAUCCUUCAGCUCUUCAGGUGAUUCACAACCUUCAGCUCUCAAAAAUCCUCUGCUCAUUCUCAAAACUCAAAUACUUACAUACACUAAAGUAUUUACUGAGGCUAAGAGUCCCCCCCCCCUUUUUUUCCAUUUUAGAUUACUAAAUGCUUGGUAGUUCAUUCUUUUUUUUGUUUUGAAAUGUUUUUGUUUUAUUUUUUAUGUAGUAUUUUAAGUUUCGAAUGUUUACGUUGCAAACUAGUAUAAAACCAUGUGUAGACACCGUCAUGUACGCUGUGAUGUAUAGAAGUAGCUAUAGUAGAAAUGCAUUGUUUCCUUGUGGUAAGUGAGUGAGAUGCUGCCACGGAACUGAGACACUGAUGAUUGGUGCUAUUUUGGACUUUAAUCUGCUCCUUGGAAAGGUAGCUGAGAUGGGUUUUUAUUUUUUACUUUCAUGUUCUGAUUAAAGGAAGGGGUUGGUUCUUUGACGUCUGGUUGUUGUAACUCGGUCUGGAUUGGCUUUGUUUUUUUUCCCUUGUCGUUUUCUGUGCGGCUUUCUCAUUGGACUUAAGGAAAAUAUCAACUUCUUUCAUGGUAAUGUUUUACUAAAGGGGGGGGGGGGGUUAGGUGAGAAUAUUUAUGAGGAUACACCAUGUUGAUCGGAGCAAUCACAAAACUGCAAUCGUUAACACUAGUUACCCUUUAAAACUGAGAUGUGCAAUCAAAGGGAUACGUUGUAUCCAGUAGUACCCAGCACAAGUCACUUUUUUUUUAGAGAAUGUUUACAUUUUUUUUGUUUAUGUUCUGAUUGACAGACAAUCUUGAAACCAAGAGUGCAUUUUUCCCCUAACGUGUUUGUUUAACAGAUCUCCUAAGCGAUUUUUGCACACUUGUGAGUAAUGAAAUUGUCACGUAUAGAAGACGCCACAGAAUGUUAAUGUCAGAUAUCCGCUUCAAGUUGGUUAGCAUAAGUAAACACUGAAAGGUAAAGGUUAUUUUUAGAAAAUGGCACUUGAGAGAACUUGAUAGUUAAAUUAUAAAAUGAACACACACACUUUAAUGUGUGUCAAGGCCCAGCCUGUUAGGGUUUGGGUUCAGGGUUUCAACUUUUCUUCACCAGCUGGAUAUGACUUAAUGCUAUAGUGAGUCAUGUGUGAUUAUAUAAUGUUAGUUAACAUGAGUCUGGAAUCACAUGAUGCAUAUAAUCUUGUUUUAGAAAACCAUUUUCAGGGCACACAUGUAUUAUAAAGUGAUCUCCGUUUUAAAAAUAUAUAUAUUUUUCAUUGUCUUUGAAUUAUUUAGUAAAUGAAUUGUUGACUGAACCUUUAUAUUAAACAACUAAAACCCCAAAGUUUUUAAAACAUUUUAGCAAAAAAAAAUUGACAACAAUGGUUAAGGGCCUUGCUCAAGGGCACAUUGACAGAUUUUUCUACCAGUUGUCUCGGGGAUUCAAACCAGCAACCUUUCAGUUACUGGCCCAAUGCUCUUAACCACUAGGCUAUCUGCCACCCUAGCUAGAGAUUUAAAACAUCAAAGUUGUGUCGGUAUUUGCAGUUUUGUUUUUGCUUCCCUUUUUUAUAUUGUUAAAUAUUCUAAUUAAUAUAAUAAUAACCAACUUGAAAGCCCACUAGUUUUCUUUUGUCUUCCAUUCUCCCUCGAUAUUGGGACCUAUUGAACCAGCAUGUUCUGGUCUUGUUAAUUGCGUGCUCUCUUUUCGUCAUUGUGGUUUUUGUUUUGUGGAAAAAAAAAUAUAUAUAUAUCCUCUUGCAAUUCUUUCGACAUAGACUACUUAAUAUGAAUGCGGUUUUGUACAUAGCAAAGUGAAUAGCGUAGGCAGGAUGUGUUGCGUGAGGUAUUCAGUAUUUACCACUAAGGUUGAAAAAAUAUAUAUAUACAGUAUGCCAGCUUUGGAAAAAUGAUUAUAACGAUGCGCUUAACUUACAGUAUCCCAUGUACUUUACUUUGGCAAUUUUAGAAGUAGUGCAAUAAAUAUGCAAGCUUGUAAUUUGGUGUUUUA
Molecule: long non-coding RNA, 3312 nt
Organism: Oncorhynchus keta (chum salmon)
Lineage: Eukaryota; Metazoa; Chordata; Actinopteri; Salmoniformes; Salmonidae
Exons: 3
Source: RefSeq, a predicted model, not a curated record